UACGUAGGGGGCUAGCGUUGUCCGGAAUUAUUGGGCGUAAAGAGCGUGUAGGCGGUUCGGCAAGUCGGGUGUGAAAUUUCGAGGCUCAACCUCGAAACGCCACUCGAUACUGCUGUGACUGGAGUCCGGUAGAGGAGUGCGGAAUUCCUGGUGUAGCGGUGAAAUGCGCAGAUAUCAGGAGGAACACCAACGGCGAAGGCAGCACUCUGGGCCGGUACUGACGCUGAGGAGCGAAAGCGUGGGGAGCGAACAGG
RNAcentral lists this ribosomal RNA (254 nucleotides) under uncultured bacterium. RNAcentral describes it as "partial 16S ribosomal RNA". It matches the Rfam family "Bacterial small subunit ribosomal RNA", at positions 524 to 776 of the family's 1533-position model. The record is from RNAcentral.